GCAAACGGCAGGCAGCAGGGACAAACUGAAAAUCGCAAACCUUAACAAAGAGAGUGAAGCAAGAAACGGCAACACCAGAAUCACAAAUCGCAAGCAGGAAGAGAAGUAAGUAAUUGAUUUGUGUAAAAAAGAUAAGAUUCAUAUUCCUUCUUCUCCUGUUCUUGUAUUCUUGUGCUUUUUUUUUAAUAUGAGAUUCGAUUCCUUUUCUCCUGUUCAAAAUUUCUGAAUUUUCAAGUCUGCAACGGCCGCAACGGCGAUUUUCCUGUGAUUUUUGUUCUCGGCGUGAAAAGGUCCAAAAACGGUAAAGGUGGCUGCUGAUACCGUUUUGUAACGGCCGCAAUCCCGGUACCGGUCCUUUUUUUGAAACCUUGGCAGCCGUCCACUUGGUUGGCCACCGUCUAACUGCUCGCGCCGGCCGUUUUUCUUCUAAAUCAACAGGUGAGUUUUUGGUUCUUUCUAUGGUUUUAUUUUUCUCUCUUAGUUUCUUCUCUUCUGUCUCUUAUUCUGCUGUUUCAUCUUUUCAAUUCUCUCUUACUCUGCUGUUUCAUCUUCUCCAUGUAUGUUUCAUCUUCGUCAUCAUAAUUCAAUAUGGGUAAAUGCUUUUAUCUUUCUUUUGGUGAUUGCUCUCUAGGUGUUUGUGUUUAUGUCUCUGUGAAAUGGACAAAUGGUUUUGUUUUUGUUUUGGAGUUUCUUUUGUGGGGUUGUUUUAUUUUGAUUAGUGGAUUAAGUAGUGUUAUAAGGUCUAUAAUGGGGUUUGAUAAUUCAAGUUUAGUAAUAGGGAAUGGAUUUUGUCAUGUUGUUUCUUGUGCUUUGAGAGUUUUAUAGGUGUUAUUUAAAAAUUAUUAUUAUACACAGUUAUACAAUCCUUCUUAACAUAAGAAUAGAAGAUAGUGUGGUAAUUGUACCAAAAAAAAAAAAUGGUGUGGUAAAACCUAAAUUAGUAAAUUAUCCUUUUGGACACGUGUCACCUGUUGAGCUACUUCAACUUAAUAUGUUAUUUAAAUAUUCCUUAAAAAAAUACAUUUACUAAUGUAAAAAAUUAAUAUAAAUAUAGGCUAAUAAGCUUAAAGGAUUAAUCAGCUCAUAGGUAAAAUUAAUUGAGUCGAACUUUUUCCAUGAGAUAUUGAUAUUAUAGGCUAAUAAACUUAAAUCAUUCCAAUUUAAAAAAUAUUCAUAACAAAUUUAUAUUAUACAAUUUAUUAAAACAUUGUUGUUAUUAAAAAAGAUAAACAUAUUCUGUUUCUUUUAAGCAGAUAAACGAUAGGUUUGUUACAUAUUUUGUUGAAUUUUGUAGUUUUAAUGAAAAGAGGAAAAAUUGUUUUAACCUAUUUUUUAUUUUAUUUAAUAAAACUUGUUUUUCGAUUGUUGUGACUAUUUUUUCAUACAGUCAAAAAAGUUGCUCUUUACCGCUCUCCGCUACUACUCACUGGCUGCAGCCUCCCUCACUCACGCAAACCGGGACACGUUCCUUCUUUCUCGCGCCUGAUAACAUUAACACAAGUAAUUGAAUCUUCUCAAAAUCUCUAUCGUGCAUUUUUAGGGUUUUUGGAUUUUGUCAAUUUCUAUAUCUCUCUAAUUGUAUUCAAUUGAUUACGCAAUUUGUAUUAUUCUUAAUAUAUUUAAUCAUUGUAGGUCUUAUGAAACGAGGGUACCGAGAAUCUCCUUCAACCUCAUUCGGUUCACCUCAUUCUAAACCUAGACAUAAUUCUCAAGGUAUUGCUCUUUGCACCUCCCAUUUUUGCUACUAUAAUUGUUAAAAACAAGUAUCAGAUUGAGCUUUGCUGAAUUUAUAAUUUAAUGUAUAUCAAAGCUCACCUAAUUCUGCAAUACUAAGUUUGCGCAUGAACUCUUUGUAUCAAUCAAUAUUGUAAAGUAAAAACAAGGAUUUUAAGUAAAUGCCUGUUUCUGCAAUUUAAGUAGCAUACCGUGAUUGAGGCUGCAACUGUUGCAUUUAACUGCAAUUCUCUACCAUUUCGAGGAUAGUGACACAAGUGUAACCGUUAUUGCAACCACCAUUUGAAAUACUAGAAAGAACUAGAAGUAGAUAGCUUCUAAAUCGUAAAAACUUUAUGACGAGUUACCAAUUACCAUACUUGUAGUAUGUGUGCUUUUCUUUCCUUUUUCGGUUCAACCUCAUUCGGUUCACCUCAUUCUAAACCUAGACAUAAUUCUCAAGGUNCCCCCCCCCCCCCCCUUCUUAUGUUUUUCACACCUUCAACAUAUACAAUCAAAGUUCUAACAUCAAAAUCCCAAUUUUUUCUCUAAACUUUCAUCUAGUAUCUGUUACCUAAAUACUCAAAUUAAGAGUGUCAAUUUAAAAUUACCUUGAACUUAAUAAAUAACAGAUUUUUUUUUUGUGGUGUCCGGGAUUUAAACCCUAGAUAUUGCAUAUAUUAUGCAUUAUCUCUAUCAACUGAGCUAAACUCACGGGGAUAUUUAAUAAAUAAGGGCUUAAAUAUGCUAUUAGUCCUGUAAAUAUUUUUUUUACAAGGACGAAAAUUAAUUCACGCCUAAAUUACAUGGACGAAUUGCAUAUUUAAGCCAUAAUAAAUAAAUAUAUGAAUAAACAAAUAAAACAUCUAAAAUAAUUAUUAAUUAUAAUUAUUAUUAAUACGUGUGUUAUUCACUAAAAAAAAAAAAAAAAAAAUCUAAAAUAAUUAUUAAUUAUAAUUAUUAUUAAUACGUGUGUUAUUCACUAAAAAAAAAAAAAAAAACACAACAAAAUCGCAAACGGCAGGCAGCAGGGACAAACUGAAAAUCGCAAACCUUAACAAAGAGAGUGAAGCAAGAAACGGCAACACCAGAAUCACAAAUCGCAAGCAGGAAGAGAAGUAAGUAAUUGAUUUGUGUAAAAAAGAUAAGAUUCAUAUUCCUUCUUCUCCUGUUCUUGUAUUCUUGUGCUUUUUUUUUAAUAUGAGAUUCGAUUCCUUUUCUCCUGUUCAAAAUUUCUGAAUUUUCAAGUCU
This 2964-nucleotide long non-coding RNA is filed under the name Medicago truncatula (barrel medic). RNAcentral's name for it is "long non-coding RNA (MTRU_LNC003745)". Lineage: Eukaryota; Viridiplantae; Streptophyta; Magnoliopsida; Fabales; Fabaceae. The record is from RNAcentral.